AGAGUUUGAUCCUGGCUCAGGAUGAACGCUAGCUACAGGCUUAACACAUGCAAGUCGAGGGGAAACGACAUCGAAAGCUUGCUUUUGAUGGGCGUCGACCGGCGCACGGGUGAGUAACGCGUAUCCAACCUGCCCAUCACUUGGGGAUAACCUUGCGAAAGUAAGACUAAUACCCAAUGAUAUCUCAAGAAGACAUCUGAAUGAGAUUAAAGAUUUAUCGGUGAUGGAUGGGGAUGCGUCUGAUUAGCUUGUUGGCGGGGUAACGGCCCACCAAGGCGACGAUCAGUAGGGGUUCUGAGAGGAAGGUCCCCCACAUUGGAACUGAGACACGGUCCAAACUCCUACGGGAGGCAGCAGUGAGGAAUAUUGGUCAAUGGGCGAGAGCCUGAACCAGCCAAGUAGCGUGCAGGAUGACGGCCCUAUGGGUUGUAAACUGCUUUUAUAAGGGAAUAAAGUGAGUCUCGUGAGACUUUUUGCAUGUACCUUAUGAAUAAGGACCGGCUAAUUCCGUGCCAGCAGCCGCGGUAAUACGGAAGGUCCGGGCGUUAUCCGGAUUUAUUGGGUUUAAAGGGAGCGUAGGCCGGAGAUUAAGCGUGUUGUGAAAUGUAGACGCUCAACGUCUGCACUGCAGCGCGAACUGGUUUCCUUGAGUACGCACAAAGUGGGCGGAAUUCGUGGUGUAGCGGUGAAAUGCUUAGAUAUCACGAAGAACUCCGAUUGCGAAGGCAGCUCACUGGAGCGCAACUGACGCUGAAGCUCGAAAGUGCGGGUAUCGAACAGGAUUAGAUACCCUGGUAGUCCGCACGGUAAACGAUGGAUGCCCGCUGUUGGUCUGAAUAGGUCAGCGGCCAAGCGAAAGCAUUAAGCAUCCCACCUGGGGAGUACGCCGGCAACGGUGAAACUCAAAGGAAUUGACGG
This 918-nucleotide ribosomal RNA is filed under the name uncultured bacterium. Its description in RNAcentral is "bacterial SSU rRNA". It matches the Rfam family "Bacterial small subunit ribosomal RNA", at positions 8 to 916 of the family's 1533-position model. The record is from RNAcentral.